RNAcentral lists this long non-coding RNA (1315 nucleotides) under Homo sapiens (human). RNAcentral describes it as "HSALNT0339195". Lineage: Eukaryota; Metazoa; Chordata; Mammalia; Primates; Hominidae. The record is from RNAcentral.
UAUGAAAUAAAAUACCAUGUAUGAGUUUAAAAACUUCUGGAUUCUAUGAGGGUUCUCACCACACCAGAUGGGAUAGCAAAUAAAAAUUUAAAACAGUUCAGAUCAUAGAUCUUUUUGGUGAACAAAUAAUGAAUAAGAGAGAAGACAGGAUUUUGCUGCAUAGUUAAUCUUUAUCCACCCCCCAUCCCAAACUUGAAUAGUUACAAGAAUAACUAUAUAGCUUUGCUAAAUCCCAAUCUAAACUUAAUAUAUACUUUAUUACAUGGAAAUCAGAAAUAUAACUUAGAACCUUCUAUAGGUUCACAUUUCAACGCUGAAAAUUACUCAGUUGCACUAGAUCUGCGUUUGGUUUGAUUGCUCACUAAUUGUCGAGUGUAUGUUGUGUUUGCUUUUUGCCUUUAUAUGCUGUAAGCAUUCCUCUUAAUAUCCUUGGUUCUUACGGUCAUGUAAUGUCAAAAUCAUUGUUUCCAUGCUUAGAUCCCUAAUGCUAAAUUUGAAGAGAUACGGAGAUGUGUGUGAAUGCUUCCUGAUGGAAUUUUAGGAAACACUAAUGGAGAUCAUUGUGCAACCCUCUUGAAGUUAGGUGAAGAAGGUCAAGAACAAGGUGUCAGCCAACUUGACAUUUCGGAAAUGGCUGCAUAUCAGAGUUCUCCACUGUUCUCCACACUUACUCUCUCCCUUAUCUCCGAGCUGGUAGCAGAGGAGCCAGCAGAAGACAGCAAGCCCUUGGUAUAGAUAGAGAAGCCAUGGAUGAAAAGAAGCAGGCCUUAAAGACAGAGCAAAGUAACAUAGCAUUCCUCUCUACUAUCAUCCUGUACUGGAUAGGCCCCCACAAAUAAUCCUGUAUUUUGGUAAACCGAUGCUUGAGGAAGACAUGCUAGAGCAAAAACUACAACUCUGGUCCUCUUGGAUAUUUUAGAUAAGGACUUUACCCACAUAAAGAAGGUGUUGCCCUGGGGACUGGCUGAGAGAAAUUACAGACUGUUACUCACUUCAAAAGAAACGGACUGCUACAGUGGUACUUACGUCACCAGAAAGAAACACUUCCACAAAGAAUUUGAUUUGAUGGCAUCAUGUGGACAUAGAACUCUCAUAGUAAUGACCCAACCUGUGUUUCCAGUCAUCCUGAUGAACUCUCAACAAAAUCAGAUUGUUAUACUGUUGUUCUCACUUUACACCGAUAUUUUCUCUUGCUCCUAAAAAAAGUAUCUGGUAUUAAAUAGAAUUCUGUAUCUUAAAAAACUUGCCAUUGAGAAAAAUGAGAAGUAACUGUACAUUUUAAUACUGAAGGUUUUAAUAAAAAAAGCAGUGUGAA